This 292-nucleotide ribosomal RNA is filed under the name uncultured eukaryote. RNAcentral describes it as "partial 18S ribosomal RNA". It matches the Rfam family "Eukaryotic small subunit ribosomal RNA", at positions 6 to 299 of the family's 1831-position model. The record is from RNAcentral.
GGUUGAUCCUGCCAGUAGUCAUAUGCUUGUCUCAAAGAUUAAGCCAUGCAUGUCUAAGUAUAAACGAUCUAUACUGUGAAACUGCGAAUGGCUCAUUAAAUCAGUUAUAGUUUAUUUGAUCAUGCCUUACUACUCGGAUAACCGUGGUAAUUCUAGAGCUAAUACGUGCUAAAAAUCCCGACUUCUGGAAGGGAUGUAUUUAUUAGAUAAAAAACCAACGCGGGCAACCGCUUGUCUGGUGAUUCAUGAUAACUUUUCGAAUCGCAUGGCCUUGUGCUGGCGAUGUUUCAUU